UACAGAGGUCUCAAGCGUUGUUCGGAUUCAUUGGGCGUAAAGGGUGCGUAGGUGGCGCCGUAAGUCAGGUGUGAAAUUUCGGAGCUUAACUCCGAAACUGCAUUUGAUACUGCGGUGCUUGAGGACUGGAGAGGAGACUGGAAUUUACGGUGUAGCAGUGAAAUGCGUAGAGAUCGUAAGGAAGACCAGUGGCGAAGGCGGGUCUCUGGACAGUUCCUGGACAGCUGAGGCAACGAAGGCCCAGGGGAGCAAACGGG
This 257-nucleotide ribosomal RNA is filed under the name uncultured bacterium. RNAcentral's name for it is "partial 16S ribosomal RNA". It matches the Rfam family "Bacterial small subunit ribosomal RNA", at positions 524 to 776 of the family's 1533-position model. The record is from RNAcentral.